CGGCCCGUAAACCCCUGUCAUUUGCGAACAAAUGUGCCCACUUAACACGUGUGUACUUGAUGGUAGCGAAAGAGGAAGGGACGGCUAACUCUGUGC
This 96-nucleotide ribosomal RNA is filed under the name uncultured bacterium. Its description in RNAcentral is "partial 16S ribosomal RNA". The record is from RNAcentral.